GCUCCGUCACCUUGGGUAACUGUUGAAGCUGGCGAUGUGGUGGUGCGCGCCAGAUCUUCCAGAGCUCUGGGCGAGUUUGAACCCACCCUAGGCAGUUUAGCAACUGAGGGAGACCCUGUCUUGAAAUUAAAAAAAAAGGCCUCAGUCCUCAGUGCUGUGACAAAGGAUGAGAAUAGAGCUCAGCUGCUCAGCGUCAGGGCUAUGCGUUCCAUCUCUGGUAUCAAAACAAAAUGAAAGGGAACAAAGGAAACAGCCACUGCACACUGUUAAGGUGCUCCCCUAGCCUGCAUGGGUGAACGUUAAGGGUAAAUGCGGUUAAACCAGGCGUCUACACACCUGUGACCCCAGCACUCUGCAGGCUGAGGCAGGAGGGUCUCCAGGAGUUCCAGGCCAGCCUGAAAUGCAUAGCGAAACCUUGUCUCAAAACAAACAAACCAAAAAACUCCCCACAAACCAAAAAUAAACUAGGUUAAGAUGAUUCUAUGUUUUGCCCAUAUUACAAUAAAGUAUAUCUGUAGACUUUUAAAUAUAUACAAAAUAAAAGCCUCUGAUUUUGUCCCAAAA
Molecule: long non-coding RNA, 564 nt
Organism: Cavia porcellus (domestic guinea pig)
Lineage: Eukaryota; Metazoa; Chordata; Mammalia; Rodentia; Caviidae
Exons: 2
Source: RefSeq, a predicted model, not a curated record